AGAGGCUUCUUCGAGCAAAGGCGAUUGUACCGGUCCCAGUGCACUCCAGUGCGGUGGCUUCUGCUGAAAUGUGCUCGGGACCGGCGCUUAGCUCCGGGGAGCUCCAUACUUUCGUCUUUCCAGACUUUUGUGGUCUACAUCAUUGCAGAACGGUUUUCCACUAUGUCUGGCAAGGAGAAACUGUGCCAGCACAGAAAACAUCUCCCAUCGUGUUUUACAUGUUGCAGAGAGCUCUUCUGAGUGUUUUGCACGUAGAAAAAGAAAGUUGUCCAAAACACCUUCCAAUCGAAUGUUCAUGUGUUUGGAAAAGUUAGGAGAGUGAUAAAGUACUGUUUUCUAUCAGUAUGCAAGCUGCGCACACUAUCCCAGUGUUGUGCAGCUUCAUUCUUCACCUUUCCGAUGCAGCUGCUCUCUCCGGCUCCCGGAGGCGAAGAAGCGGCUUCUUCGCGCAAAGGUGGUUGUGCCGGUCACAGUGCAGUCCAGUGCGGCGGCAUCUGUUGAAAUGUGCCCGGGCCGGGGCAUAGCUCCGGGGAGCUUCGUACCUUCGUCUUUAGCGUCAUUUUUUUCUACAUCAUUGCUGAAAGGUUUUCUACUAUGUUAGGCAGGGAGAAACUCUGCCAGCACAGAAAACAUCUCCCAUCGUGUUUUACAUGUUGCAGAGAUGUCUGCGGAGUGUUUUGCAAGAAGAAAAAGAAAGUUGUCCAAAACACCUUCCAACCGAAUGUUCAUGUGUUUGGAAAAGGUAGGAGUGGUAAGGUACUGUUUUCUAUCAGUUUGCAAGCUGCGCACGCUAUCCCAGUAUUGUGCAGCUUCAUUCUUCACCUGUCCGAAGCAGCCGCUCUCUCCGGCUCUCGGAGGCGAAGAAGCGGCUUCUUCGCUCAAAGGCGAUUGUACCGGUCACUGUGCUCUGCAGUGCGGCGGCAUCUGUCGAAAUAUGCCCGGGACCGGGGCAUAACUCCGGGGAGCUCCGUAUCCUUCAUCUUUAGUGUCUUUUGUGGUCUACAAAAUUGCAGAAUGGUUUUCCCCUAUGUCUGGCAAGGAGAAACUGUGCCACCACAGAAAACAUCUCCCAUCGUGUUCUAGAAGUCUCACGCAGGUCUGCUGAAUGUUUGGCAAGAAGAUAAAGAAAGUUGUCCAAAAGACCUUCCAACCGAAUUUUCAUGUGUUUGGAAAACGUAGGAGAGUGGUAAGGUACUGUUUUCUAUCACUUUGCAAGCUGCGCACACAAUACCAGUGUUGUGCAGCUUCCUUCUUCACCUUUCCGAAGCUGCCGCUCUCUCCGGCUUUCGGAGGCGAA
This 1297-nucleotide long non-coding RNA is filed under the name Zonotrichia albicollis (white-throated sparrow). RNAcentral's name for it is "lncRNA (ENSZALG00000004281.1)". The record is from RNAcentral. Lineage: Eukaryota; Metazoa; Chordata; Aves; Passeriformes; Passerellidae.